Non-coding RNA from Haemonchus contortus (barber pole worm), 75 nucleotides. NCBI's taxonomy places the organism in Eukaryota, Metazoa, Nematoda, Chromadorea, Rhabditida, Trichostrongylidae. The record is from Rfam.
UGCACAAACUCGAAGUAAAGUAGUUUAGUGAAGUCAGGUGAUCCUCCUUAUCUACUCUACUUCGAGUUUGUGCCC